UGGCGGCAUGCCUAACACAUGCAAGUCGAACGAACCUUCGGGUCUAGUGGCGCACGGGUGCGUAACGCGUGGGAAUCUGCCCUUAGGUACGGAAUAACUCAGGGAAACUUGUGCUAAUACCGUAUGAUGUCGAGAGACCAAAGAUUUAUCGCCUAGGGAUGAGCCCGCGUAGGAUUAGCUAGUUGGUGGGGUAAAGGCCUACCAAGGCUACGAUCCUUAGCUGGUCUGAGAGGAUGAUCAGCCACACUGGGACUGAGACACGGCCCAGACUCCUACGGGAGGCAGCAGUGGGGAAUAUUGGACAAUGGGCGAAAGCCUGAUCCAGCAAUGCCGCGUGAGUGAAGAAGGCCUUCGGGUUGUAAAGCUCUUUUACCCGGGAAGAUAAUGACUGUACCGGGAGAAUAAGCCCCGGCUAACUUCGUGCCAGCAGCCGCGGUAAUACGGAGGGGGCUAGCGUUGUUCGGAAUUACUGGGCGUAAAGCGUACGUAGGCGGCUUUGUAAGUCAGAGGUGAAAGCCCACGACUCAAUCGUGGAACUGCCUUUGAGACUGCUUCGCUUGAAGAUGGGAGAGGUUAGUGGAAUUCCGAGUGUAGAGGUGAAAUUCGUAGAUAUUCGGAAGAACACCAGUGGCGAAGGCGGCUAACUGGACCAUUCUUGACGCUGAGGUACGAAAGCGUGGGGAGCAAACAGGGAUUAGAUACCCUGGUAGUCCACGCCGUAAACGAUGAUNACUAGCUGUCGGGGCUCUU
RNAcentral lists this ribosomal RNA (750 nucleotides) under uncultured earthworm intestine bacterium. RNAcentral's name for it is "bacterial SSU rRNA". It matches the Rfam family "Bacterial small subunit ribosomal RNA", at positions 37 to 833 of the family's 1533-position model. The record is from RNAcentral.